GCGCCCUUGGAGAGCAGAUUCGGCUUGCUAGAGCCGAAGUUGUGUCCCAAGCCGCAGUCUAACCGAAGGUCAGAGGUUCGAAUCCUCUCGGGCGCG
RNAcentral lists this transfer RNA (96 nucleotides) under Acidobacteriota bacterium. RNAcentral describes it as "Acidobacteria bacterium (soil metagenome) tRNA-Ser". Lineage: Bacteria; Pseudomonadati; Acidobacteriota. The record is from RNAcentral.